AUAGUAAGGCCAUUUAUCCUGUCUUUUCUCGUCACUCUUGUUUUCCUCAUACUUUUGAACCAAAGAAGCCCAGAGAGAUUUACACUGUCCAGGACUUCGAUCGACUCCAAUAGAAAGUAAAUUUGAAGAUAUCUCUUCCCAUAGUGCCAUUCGUCCACGAACAACUUGGAACUUGCUGUGGAGUUCCCCGCGCAACAUAAUCAAUUUCUUUAUCUCAUCAUGUUUCCAUCUGUUUCUCUUCAAAGGCUUGGAAGAUUUCAUCAUAGAUUGUGGAAAGCCAGAAUCAACUUGAACGCUCUCUUUUCUGGACGAUUCUGAUUCCUCCUCAGCGGUAGAAUAUUCAUCCAGUGAGUUUGCACUUGAAGUAGUUGCUCCAUCAUGCAUAAGUCUCUCAAUAUCCAUAUCAUCACCUUUCACUUGCUCAACUGCAUCAUCAACUGGAUAGCCAUUGCCAUUACCUCCUUCUGCACGUGCCCCACUUGCCUGUCUUCUUUUCUGAUCUUCAUCCAAUACAUUUCUAAGUGCUGAAAUUCCAAAACCUACAUGUGAUUUUCCAGAAAGUUUUCCAUUGAUUUCAUCAGCCAGAACUCCUGCAGGAUUCUCAAAGGCAACGGCAAUAACCUCAGGUCUUUUACUACUGUAUUUCCUGACCAAUUUCCUAAGAACUUCAGACACGGUUCUUUCCAUGUGGGACAAAGGGCAGUUCAAUGGACAGCUUGAAAGUGAAGCAUGUGCAGCUUUAUGGAGCGCAUCCAGAAGUUUCCCUUUGUCAAGCCACAAGCAGCGUGUGGUUAUUCUUA
This 800-nucleotide unclassified non-coding RNA is filed under the name Hevea brasiliensis (rubber tree). Lineage: Eukaryota; Viridiplantae; Streptophyta; Magnoliopsida; Malpighiales; Euphorbiaceae. The record is from RNAcentral.